This 1350-nucleotide ribosomal RNA is filed under the name metagenome. RNAcentral describes it as "bacterial LSU rRNA". It matches the Rfam family "Bacterial large subunit ribosomal RNA", at positions 1564 to 2925 of the family's 2925-position model. The record is from RNAcentral.
UGAAUACGAGACGCUAAGGCGUCGAAGUAGUGUAUGUCAUACUUCCAAGAAAAGCUUGCACUGCCAUAAGUAAAAAAUGCCUGUACCAUAACCGACACAGGUGGGUAGGUAGAGUAUACUAAGGGGCGCGAGAUAACUCUCUCUAAGGAACUCGGCAAAAUAACUCCGUAACUUCGGGAGAAGGAGUACCUUAUUCUAUAAGGUUGCAAUAACAAGAUCCAAGCAACUGUUUAUCAAAAACACAGGUCUCCGCUAAGUCGUAAGACGAUGUAUGGGGGCUGACGCCUGCCCAGUGCCAGAAGGUUAAAGAAGUCGGUUAGCAUUAGCGAAGCUGGUAACUGAAGCCCUGGUGAACGGCGGCCGUAACGAUAACGGUCCUAAGGUAGCGAAAUUCCUUGUCGGGUAAGUUCCGACCCGCACGAAAGGCGUAAUGAUUUGGAUACUGUCUCGGAGAGGGGCUCGGUGAAAUAGACUUGUCUGUGAAGAUGCGGACUACCUGCACCAGGACAGAAAGACCCUAUGAAGCUUUACUGUAACUUGAAAUUGAAAUUGGACUUUAUUCGCGCAGUAUAGGUGGGAGGUGUUGAUUAUAAUCUUGCGGGAUUAUUGGAGCCAUCAGUGAGAUACCACUCUUGUAAUGUUAGAUUUCUAACUUUGAAUCAUUAUCUGGUCAAAGGACAGUUUCAGGCGGGCAGUUUGACUGGGGCGGUCGCCUCCCAAACGGUAACGGAGGCGUACAAAGGUUUCCUCUGAACGGGUAGAAAUCGUAUCUAGAGUGUAAAGGCAUAAGGAAGCUUGACUGUGAGACCUACAAGUCGAACAGGGACGAAAGUCGGUCUUAGUGAUCUGACGGUACUGAGUGGAAAGGCCGUCACUCAACGGAUAAAAGUUACUCUAGGAUAACAGGCUGAUCUCCCCCAAGAGUUCACAUCGACGGGGAGGUUUGGCACCUCGAUGUCGGCUCACCGCAUCCUGGGGCGGUAGUACGUCCCAAGGGUUGGGCUGUUCGCCCAUGAAAGCGGUACGCGAGCUGGGUUCAGAACGUCGUGAGACAGUUCGGUCCAUAUCCGGUGUAGGCGUUGGAAUAUUGAGAGGAGCCUUCUUUAGUACGAGAGGACCGAGAAGGACAUACCUCUGGUGUACCAGUUAUCGUGCCAACGGUAAACGCUGGGUAGCUAUGUAUGGAGUGGAUAACCGCUGAAAGCAUCUAAGUGGGAAGCCCACCUCAAGAUGAGUGCUCUCACAGGGUUAACCUGGUAAGGUCACGGGAAGACCACCCGUUAAUAGGCACUAGGUGGAAGUCCAGUAAUGGAUGGAGCCAAGGUGUACUAACAGACCGAGGGCUUGACC